This 468-nucleotide ribosomal RNA is filed under the name uncultured bacterium. RNAcentral's name for it is "partial 16S ribosomal RNA". It matches the Rfam family "Bacterial small subunit ribosomal RNA", at positions 28 to 507 of the family's 1533-position model. The record is from RNAcentral.
GACGAACGCUGGCGGUGUGCUUAACACAUGCAAGUCGAACGGAAAGGCCUUUCUUUUGUGGCGUGCUCGAGUGGCGAACGGGUGAGUAUCCCGUUAGUAACCUGCCCUUGACUUUGGGAUAACUCCAGUAAACUGUGGCUAAUACCGGAUAGGAGCUCCUGCUGCAUGGUGGGGGCUUGAAUGUUUGGGCGGUUGUGGUUGGGCUCGCGGCUUCUCAGCCUGUUGGUGGGGUAGUGUCUUACCAGGGCUUCGACGGGUAGCCGGCCUGAGAGGGUGACCGGCCACAUUGGGACUGAGAUACGGCCCAGACUCCUACGGGAGGCAGCAGUAGGGAAUAUUGCACAAUGGGCGGAAGCAUGAUGAAGCAACGCCGCGUGCGGGAUGAAGGACUUCGGGGUGUAAACCGCUGUCGCCUGUGACGAAGCGGGAGUGACGGUAAUGGGUAAAGAAGCACCGGCUAACUACGUG